GGGACCAAGGGGCUCACAGAGCAAGAAAGAGCAUCCGAUGCAGACUAUCAAUGAUCCAGCCUUUUAACAUUCUUGAAACAAAGAAAGACUGUGGGAAUACAGAGUGGCAUCUGCCUUGAACUUGGGUACCCGGUUGGAAAGGUAAUCUGGUCAGAAGGGAAGGACGAGUUUGAAGAUAUUAAGAACAAAGCAGGACAGAUUUAGGAAUGCAAGAAGAAUAUUUCACCAGUGUCUAAGGUGCCAAGCACAUUGAGGCUGCUGCUUGGUGGUGUCGCCUUACCCUGGGCUUGGACACCCAACACUUCGCUGGGAACGUGGGCUAGAGCACGCACUCCAUUCCUAGAGGAGCUGGUGUUUGGCUUUCUCCCAGGACGGCGCAUGGAAAGUGAGACUCCCCCACUUCGAGCGUGCACCACCUCCCAUCAUCCAGCUUAAGAAAGAGACUCCUACGUGAGACAAGUUGAGAAACUUCACACCAACCAGAGCAUGCAUGACCUUGCAAAGAAGGGUGAUGACUGUGGUCAACAAUUAAUUGACUGCUUCAAAAUAGCUAUUAGGCAGGAAUCUGAGUGUAUCAAAUUAAUGUCUGUGAUAGAUAUGCCAAUGACCUCAACCUUUAUACAUUUACCUAUGCCUUUGAGUAGCAUACUCAAACCCCAGAAUAUGAACAAUUUCUAUUUAACAUGGAACUUCUUAAAGGCUAAAUCAAGACCUUCAUUGGCAGAGCUCUGUCUUGAUAAGUUUUCUAGUCAGCAUGUGGUACCAAUUCAAGAAUCAUUCUACAUCCCAAAGUUUAAAUUCUGAUAACAUUCCAAAAGCCAAAAUUCUCAUCUAAGUCAGUACGAGAGUUCAAUCUGAAUGUGUGUACUCUCCCUACAGUGUUCAUUUCUCUCCACUCACUAAGAAUCUGUGUUCCAAAGGCUUGGCUUCCCCAGCCAAGUGCAGCAGGCCAUGAAAAACUGCAUGGCUACUCUCCAUAAACCUACAGUGAUGUUCCAAUUCCACAUUUACCAGCUUACGCAAGAACAUGAAGCAAAUUCCAAAGCAUAAAAAUUCUUACCCCUGUAAAAGCACUGCGUUGAAAAUCUUAGCUCCAUUCACCAUGUAAAUGGCUCUUCCAUACAGCCUCAAGUGGCCUCAAGUAUCCACAUA
This is a long non-coding RNA of Mesocricetus auratus (golden hamster), 1152 nucleotides long. RefSeq lists it as uncharacterized. The transcript has 3 exons. The record is from RefSeq and is a predicted model, not a curated record. Lineage: Eukaryota; Metazoa; Chordata; Mammalia; Rodentia; Cricetidae.